RNAcentral lists this long non-coding RNA (316 nucleotides) under Homo sapiens (human). RNAcentral describes it as "non-protein coding lnc-SERPINB6-1:14". Lineage: Eukaryota; Metazoa; Chordata; Mammalia; Primates; Hominidae. The record is from RNAcentral.
CCUGAGGGUCGUUGGGACUUUCCCUCUCAGACAUUUAUUGGUUCAUUCAUUCGUUCAUUUUGCUGUAACUCACAGUGGCCCUCCCCAUCCUAAGGUGCACUGCUGGGAUUGGUCUAUGUGCUGAUGAUGUUCUCCUUGUCUUCAGAGGUGAGAAUGUGCCCUCCCUCCGAGAUGCCCUCUUGCCCCUGAGCUCCCCAAAAAUUAGCUGGGCAUGGUGGUGUGCACCUGUAGUCCCAGCUACUCGGGAGGCUGAGGCAGGAGAAUCACUUGAACCCAGGAGGCAGAGGUGGCGGUGAGCUGAGAUUGUGUCAUUGCA